This 488-nucleotide ribosomal RNA is filed under the name uncultured bacterium. Its description in RNAcentral is "bacterial SSU rRNA". It matches the Rfam family "Bacterial small subunit ribosomal RNA", at positions 8 to 526 of the family's 1533-position model. The record is from RNAcentral.
AGAGUUUGAUCCUGGCUCAGAACGAACGCUGGCGGCAUGCCUAACACAUGCAAGUCGAACGAGACCUUCGGGUCUAGUGGCAGACGGCUGAGUAACGCGUGGGUGACGUACCUGUUGGUGGGGAAUAACUGCCCGAAAGGGUGGCUAAUUCCGCAUACGCCCGAUUCUUCGGUUGGAUUGGGGAAAGUCGCAAGACGCCAAUGGAGCGGCCCGCGUUCGAUUAGCUAGUUGGUGGGGUAACGGCCUACCAAGGCAACGAUCGAUAGCUGGUCUCAGAGGAUGAUCAGCCAGACUGGGACUGAGACACGGCCCAGACUCCUACGGGAGGCAGCAGUUAGGAAUUUUGGGCAAUGGGCGAAAGCCUGACCCAGCAACGCCGCGUGGGUGACGACGGCCUUCGGGUUGUAAAGCCCUUUUCUGGGGGAAGAUGAUGACGGUACCCCAGGAAGAAGCACCGGCUAACUACGUGCCAGCAGCGGCGGUAAUUC